UGAGCGGCGGACGGGUGAGUAACGCGUGGGCAACCUGCCUCAUACAGGGGGAUAACAGUUAGAAAUGACUGCUAAUACCGCAUAAGCGCACGGUUCCGCAUGGAACAGUGUGAAAAACUCCGGUGGUGUGAGAUGGUCAAAGAUUUAUCGGCAUAAGAUGGGCCUGCGUCUGAUUAGCUAGUUGGUGGGGUAACGGCCCACCAAAGCGACGAUCAGUAGCCGACCUGAGAGGGUGACCGGCCACAUUGGGACUGAGACACGGCCCAAACUCC
RNAcentral lists this ribosomal RNA (272 nucleotides) under uncultured Lachnospiraceae bacterium. RNAcentral's name for it is "partial 16S ribosomal RNA". It matches the Rfam family "Bacterial small subunit ribosomal RNA", at positions 92 to 339 of the family's 1533-position model. The record is from RNAcentral. Lineage: Bacteria; Bacillati; Bacillota; Clostridia; Lachnospirales; Lachnospiraceae.